RNA transcript from Cornus florida, 2091 nucleotides. It is a transcript of the gene named polyadenylate-binding protein, cytoplasmic and nuclear-like, with no coding region annotated. The record is from RefSeq and is a predicted model, not a curated record. Lineage: Eukaryota; Viridiplantae; Streptophyta; Magnoliopsida; Cornales; Cornaceae. The transcript is spliced from 6 exons.
ACAACUGUAGCCGUCAACGUGUCGAACAACCAUCGGUAAGGAUCUGCUUCUCACCCUCCCCUCACCAGAACAAAAAUAUAUUUCUAGGGCAAAUCAUUUCAGCCUCCCCAACCGCCUCCAUCGUUCUCAACUCUGAACUUCCCUCUCUCUCUCCCUCUGCAACUGCAAACUACAAAAUCUACAAGAAUCAGAAGUUCAAAACCUAUAUAUUUCAGUUUAUCUAUCUGUCUGCAAGAAUUAAAACCUAUUACCUAUAUCAAAGCCCAUAUCGGCAUAUCAUUUCAGAUUGUUCCAAAAAUCAAAACCCAUAUCUUUCAGUUCCCAUCGCCCGCUGUUCCAGUUCGGGUUCGCCGUUCACAAGCUUCAGCCGCUGGCCCGCUGUCUCUCAACUCUCAAGCUUGCCUCCCCCCCUCUCUCUGCAACUGCUAACUUGGUUAGCAUCGGGCCUUAACAUUUAGCAAGAACAAGGUUCAACAAACAUGCCUCCUCAGUCAUCAGGUUUAUUUUCUGAAAGAAGAGAGUUGAUGGGAAUGGGUGGAGUGGGCAAAAAAAAAAUAGCUGCGAAGGCUCUAAAUUCUGCUGAAAUCACGGGGAAACAAAUGUCAGUCAUGUGGUAUGAGAGAGAUGCUGCAAUAAGAAAGAUGGGUUUUUCCAUAAUUAUAUUAGUGAACCUUGAAGCAUCAAUUAGCUGCUAUGAAUUGGAGUGCCUAUGUAGUAGCUAUGGGACGGUUAUGCGCACCAAAAUUGGUGAAAAGGUUGUGAAGCAAACUUAUUUUCGCUAUGGAAUAGUCCUGUUUGAUGAAGAGGAAUUUGCCCUUAAGGCUAUUCAUGAUCUUCAUGGGAUGAAGUUCAAUGGCAAAGAACUGUAAUUUCUCAACCUUAGUAGUUUGAUCUUUUGUUUUCGAAUGGGAAUCUCAACUUCUUUUUUUGUUUUUGGGCAAUUUUGUUCCAAAUAUGUGAAUGAGAGACUGAAGAAAAGGAACUCAAAGCGCAAGUUUGUCGACAGGCACAAUGAAUUGUCAGUAUGCUCAUAUGUCUAUGUAAAGAAUCUAAAUGAAUCAAUAGAUGAUUUGAAGUUGUUUCAGCUUUUUAGUGAUUGUGAAGGGAUAAUGUCUGCAAAGGUAAUAUAUAGCACCCGCGGGAAGAGUAGAGGAUUCGGAUUUGUGGGGUUUUGCAGUCACGAAGCAGCAAAGGAAGUCUGUUACGGAGGUGAAAUACUACGAAUGGGAAGGGAAAGUCUGAAAAUCGUGCAGACAUUUCAAUUCGGACCAUUAAAUCUUGGCACCAAUGAUGAAGGAGAUGAUGAAGAAGAUCCUCCAGAUGACCUUUUGAAGGCUGGAAUGAUUGGCAGAGAGGGUCAAAAUGAUAUCCAAGAAGGGCUGUCCGUGUAUGUUCUGGAUGGAGAUGAACCUGAUUUAGUAGACACACAGGAAAUGUUAGGUUGCAAUACUUACGAUGAAUUUGCAAGAAGAUUGCAUGCAUCGUGGGCAAAAGUUUUGAAUGAAGAACCUCUUGAGAUUGUCCACCUAUGCCGUUGACCUGGCCAGGUCACAUCUUAAAAUUUGAUUAUUUUGAUGUGAUGGAGGUAGGGCGUGUUGUCUUGGAUCCAUAUGCAGCGGACUGGGAUGAAUUUGGAUCUAUGUUGGAUAGAGUAUUGGCAACUCCUAGUAAUUGAGCAGAAACUGCUGAAAGAACUGUCAAUAGAAGGUGUCAAGGAUCGAGAGAAUGGAAAUUAAACCGUAAUUAGAGACGUGGAGGAUAACCAAUUGGGAAUGUUUGACCAACUGCUACCUUGCUUUGCUUGUGGAAAAGGAUGGUUUUCAUGGGUUUUUCUGCCCUUGUGUUUCUUCUAAUACUCUCUCUAUCAUGGAUAGACUUUUAUUUGCAGUCUUUUGCUUGGAUUUGUAUUCCCACUGAUGUGGUACUAUACUAUGCAACAAUUCUUUGCUUGGAUUUGUAUUCCCACUGAUGUGGUACUAUACUAUGCAACAUCCUAGGAUGAGUGUUCUUUAUGAUGUGAAGACAUGUUAUGUUUGCUCGUUAACUCCAUAGAAAAUCUUAAAUGUAUAUAUAUAAGCAAUUUGACCUGUG